CCGCCGGCUGAAUCCCCCUUUUGCGUCCUGCUCUGCGGGACCCCGCGGCGGGGAGCGGGAGCGGCUGACCCCAAAACCUCAAGUUUUGGCAGAGGCCGGGCCCCGGCGGCUCCCCCCCCUCGGCACGGCCCCGGGCCCGGCCACGCCGCGGCCGGGAGACCGCUACGGGCGGCCGGGGGCAGCGCAUCCCGGCUCGGCCCGGGGGCGAAGUUUGCCGUGGGGACGAACGGGACGAGCUGCCCCCCCCCCCGCCGCCGCCGCCGCGGGGCUGGAAGGGGCGGACGGACCCGCACCGCGCUCGGGGCUCCGGCCGGGGCCGCCCCCAUUGUCCCGGGAGCGCAGCGGGGCGGCGGGAGGGGAAGGGAAAGGAAGGGAAAAAGAAGGGACGAGAAGGGCCGGUGGGAGCCUCCCGCCCCGCCGCUGCUGGCAGGAUGCUCCGCCCGGGCUGGCGCUCCUCCGGGGGGGGGGGCGAGAGCCAGCAACUUUCCGCAAGUUGGAGCCGCGCUGGGAGAGCUGCCGAGUGCACUCACCGCCGAGCCGAACCGUGCCGUGCUGCCCCGUGCCGAGCCGUGCCGUGCCUCAACCCCGCUGCCCGCGCUCGGCUCGCCCCGGCCCCGCCGCCCCGGCCGGAUUGGGCCGUGCUGCUGCACAUCACGUUGGCCCAGCGCGGCGAUUAGGCGUCGGGAGAGUCACUCAGGGCGGGGAGGAGCUGCCUUGCCCUGCCCUGCCCUGCCCUGCUCCCCACUACACGCAUCCCUCGUGUCCUGCGUGCCUCCCCGCUCCGUGCAGCCACGCAUCCCGCUCCCACGCGCGCAUUGCCCCGCUCCCGUAAGCUUUCCUCGUUCCUCCCCUGCGUGCGUCUCCGCAAGCUGGCAUGCCUUCUGCCUACAAGCAUCCCUGCCCCUUCCAGUGCAUGCACCCCUCCUUCAUACGCGGGCUCCCCUUGCAGCCUCACCUUCUCUGUCCAGAGCGAGCACCCGGCCGGUGCUGAGGAUGCUGGUGCUAAGGAUGCAGGUGGGCACACCGGGGGCCAACCCGGAGACUGGCUCCUACAAAAAGCGUGAGGGUGCGGGGGUGCCUGAAUCCUUGCACCCUGAGCUCUGUGCUCCGGGGCAGGGGGCAUUGCCACAGCCCUGCCCUGCCCUGCCUCCAGCUGUCCGAUUUGGGAUAGGUGGCCUCAUCUCUGUCCUAAUUUCUACAUCUGCUGCACAAAGAUUCACACCGAAAAUUGCUAGAAGGGCUCUGGAAGCCAAGGGCCUUAGAGACACUUUUGCGCAGAAGUGGUGGAGAACAGAAGUUAAUACAAACGAGAAUCCUUGA
RNAcentral lists this long non-coding RNA (1320 nucleotides) under Anser brachyrhynchus (Pink-footed goose). RNAcentral's name for it is "lncRNA (ENSABRG00000019005.1)". The record is from RNAcentral. Lineage: Eukaryota; Metazoa; Chordata; Aves; Anseriformes; Anatidae.